RNAcentral lists this long non-coding RNA (424 nucleotides) under Homo sapiens (human). RNAcentral describes it as "HSALNT0246753". The record is from RNAcentral. Lineage: Eukaryota; Metazoa; Chordata; Mammalia; Primates; Hominidae.
GUGCUUGAAAUCUCCAACUGGAACCUGAAAACUGUGGGGUAGCCAAACCAGGCAAAGAGAUUGAAAGGAAUUUUCCGAUUUCCAAACUAUUUCAGUUGUACUACAUUAGCUAAGAUCUCCAUUGAAUGGAUUUUUAAAUCCUUAAAACAAGAAUACCACAAAGUCCAAACAACUGCAAAUGAAAGACUCCCAUUGGAAUAAAACCAUAAUCAAGUACUUUAAACAAAAAUAUAAAUACUACAUUAAAAUGUCUAAAGUAAUUACGUACAAUAUAAACUUGCAGUAACAUACCUUUUACCUGAUGGUCUUCAUCUGUGUUUUAUCUUUAGCCGAAAAAAACAACAACAACAACAAAGAAAAAGCCCCCAAACCAGGAUAAACUGGAAACAUUUAUUAAAGCAACCAUCAAUUUUACUGCCAUCAU